AGAAAAAUAGAAAAAAAUAAGCUUAUGGGCUCAUACCCCAUAUAUGAAUAUCAAAUUCUUCCUG
Molecule: transfer RNA, 64 nt
Filed under: Aposthonia japonica
Lineage: Eukaryota; Metazoa; Arthropoda; Insecta; Embioptera; Oligotomidae
Description: tRNA-Met
Source: RNAcentral